RNAcentral lists this ribosomal RNA (492 nucleotides) under uncultured bacterium. Its description in RNAcentral is "partial 16S ribosomal RNA". It matches the Rfam family "Bacterial small subunit ribosomal RNA", at positions 29 to 507 of the family's 1533-position model. The record is from RNAcentral.
AGUGAACGCUGGCGGUAUGCCUAACACAUGCAAGUCGAACGGCAGCACAGUAAGCGCUUUCUCUUACUGUUGGCGAGUGGCGGACGGGUGAGGAAUACAUCGGCAUCUCCUUUUUCGUGGGGGAUAACGUAGGGAAACUUACGCUAAUACCUCAUACGACCUACGGGUGAAAUCAGGAGAUCUUCGUACCUUGCGCGAUUGAAUGAGCCGAUGUCGGAUUAGCUAGUUGGCGGGGUAAAGGCCCACCAAGGCGACGAUCCGUAGCUGGUCUGAGAGGAUGAUCAGCCACACUGGAACUGAGACACGGUCCAGACUCCUACGGGAGGCAGCAGUGGGGAAUAUUGGACAAUGGGCGCAAGCCUGAUCCAGCCAUACCGCGUGGGUGAAGAAGGCCUUCGGGUUGUAAAGCCCUUUUGUUGGGAAAGAAAAGCAGCAGGUUAAUACCCGGAUGUUCUGACGGUACCCAAAGAAUAAGCACCGGCUAACUUCGUG